GGAGACUGAAAUAAAAGGCUGUUUAGUUGUUUACUGGAGUAUUUUCUUGAAGCUGUUGUGGAAGUUGUUCGAGAGAGAAAAUGAGGAAGACUCAGUAAGUUGGACAUUUGAAAAAGGCCGCUCCCUUGAUUAAAGCGAUUUAGUCAAUCAUGCUCACAAAACUCACACUGUGGACAUGGGGAAAGAGAUUGGCUGUAGUGUAUAAGUUUUGUCUAAACAACAUUGAAUGUUUAUAAACCAUCAUCACCACCACCAUCAUCAUCAUCACCAUGAUCAUCCUCAUCGUCAUGUUGCAACCAUACAGCAUGAGAAAUGUUUUUAAAAUUGUUCAAAUCAUUUCCUUUUGAUAACACCAUAUUACGCCAUAUGAUACUCUGCAACCCCUCGCAUUGGAACUAGUGAAAGCGAUCACCAAUUUCAUCAAAAUUUCACCAGAAUUACAAGAAGUCACUCAAGAGACAUGCCCUUUGGUUGCGCAAGCAUAAUGACUUGUGUUAAUUCUAGUAUAAAAAAUGUGAGUUGUUGGGGAGAAGACAGUAACUUGACUCCUGAUCACACAGUCAGGCUCCAGCAUCUUGUUAUUGAAGUUUUCAAGAGACUGUCACCAUGGCGACGAUGUUGACCGUCCUUAUCCUACUCAGCAUUGCCUUUGCAUGUGACAGGACCCUGGAACCACCAUCAUCUGGAACCGAGGAGCCGUCCUUCUCAGGUGACAGGACCCUGGAACCACCAUCAUCUGGAACCGAGGAGCCAUCCUCCGGAGUGCGAGAAGAUCAUGAACAGCAACGGGAGAGUUGAUAAUAUUGAUUACCAUGAUGUUGACCAGGGUAUAUAUUUUGAAAUGGAUAUUACAGUGCCAUUUCGGACACAGCCUGAGGGAAAAGCACAGCAAUUGUUUGUCAGAUUUAAUUAGCAUAAUUGUUAACUUUUCUGCUAUACUGUCUUGUAACUUUCCAUAACUAUGUAGACAGUAAGGCCGUACAUGCUGUAAUGUGUCUUUCAUUGAAGCUUUCCUAUCCUCUGUGCUGACUGUCAUUAGCAGACCUGGGCUCAAACAUACUAUCUGAAAUCUUCCAAAUACUUUGAGUGUUUUAUUUAGCCUGUCUGAAGUGCUGGAUGGGCAGUGUUUGCAGUUUUGGGACAAUUGUAUUGGUCCAUUAUACCAUGCAGGCUCAUUCAAGCACAGAUUAAGUAUUUGGAAUGAUUUCAAAUAGUAUUUUAACCAGGUCUGGACAUAAGAAAAUGUUACAUAACAUAUACAUGUAGGAUCCUGUUUUUGUUCUUUUAUCCCUCUCUACUUUACACAGGGCAGGAGGCCUUCCAGGCUUCUGGUCUAGCAGAUGUUAGGAGGAGGCAAGAGGCAGGAGGCCUUCCUGGCUUCUGGUCUAGCAGAUGUUAGGAGGCAGGAGGCCUUCCAGGCUUCUGGUCUAGCAGAUGUUAGGAGGAGGCAGCAUUUUUUUCUCUCUUUUUGCAGUUCUGUCACUAUUGUGAAAGUUGUUUCAGACUUAAAGCAUAUAGCCCAAUUGACAAGUACUUCAUGACUGUGCCACCAGCCAAGGCUGCUGAGGGGAGGACGGCUCAUAAUAAUGGCUGGAAUGGAGUCAAUGGAAUGCUAUCAAACGUGGUUUCCAUAUGGUUGAUACCAUUCCAUUGACUCCGUUCCAGGCAUUUCUAUGAGCCGUCCUCCCCACAGCAGCCUCCACUGUGUGCCACACAUUGUAAUUGAUAUACAGUAUGUUUGCCAAGGUUAUACAGUGUAAGAUUAAGUAGUGUAUGGUUCCAACUUGUAUAAAUCACGGUAACAUAUAAUGUACUAACAAUAUCAAUAUCAUGUUUGCGUUUUCUCUAGGCAAUGUUAAUGUACUGUACUUCUUCAUAUUGCAAUCGGUGAACCAGAACUGUGUGUAUGCGUGUGUAUGCAUUUGUAUUGCUUGAUUAGGACACAGAGAUAAUCAGACUAUUCAGUGUUUACUUCUCUUGAGACGAGUAUGAUGAAGAGAGGGAAAAAAAUAGUUGUCGAGUUGCAUAACGCCCAGGCUUUGGGGAAGUGUUGCUACUAUUAAAUAAAGAAGAGAUGAUUAAUGCAUAUGCUCAUUAUUUCCAUGUGUGGGGCUUCAUUAGUUAACCCCCCUCCCCCACCGGUGAGCGUGCUACUGCUGUUGGUGGGUGUUGGGUUACAGAUGGUAGGUUGAGCGAUGGUAAUCCAACGCGCUAUUUGGAGCAAUGCGUCGGCGGGACUUGGCUCCCAGAGUUCCAGUUCUCAUAUAAGCGGUGAGUUUACACCGGAAAACCAAUAAAUACUUGCUAAAUAGACUCAAACUUCAUCAAAAUAAUGCGG
Molecule: long non-coding RNA, 2338 nt
Filed under: Salmo salar (Atlantic salmon)
Lineage: Eukaryota; Metazoa; Chordata; Actinopteri; Salmoniformes; Salmonidae
Description: lncRNA (ENSSSAG00000111491.1)
Source: RNAcentral